GAGCAUAUAGAGUUCUAAACGUGCAUGCUUUCUCCAAGCCAAGGUGUGUUAAACAUCUAAAUUGGAGUUAUGCACGCUCGGUUAAUAUCUAUGGCUUUUUUAUGCUUACCAUUGAGAUUUCAGUUCAUGAAGGCAGUAACGACAACAGCGAAGACAGUUUCUUAAGGCUUUUCCUGCACUUCUGUGCCCUCUAUUUGAUCAUCUGCCAAGGUUUGUGAAUAGUGCCAAAUCAAACAGCACAGCAUCUCUAUGAGGCUCCUCCUGGGAGUUAAGGAAUUCUGCAGUUGGAGCACGGGCCCAUUGUCACGGACAGCCACUGCUGCUAUGGAGUUACCAUCUCCAAUGAAGGAAAGAGGAAAGGGAGGUGUGAGAAGCACUGCAGCCACGCCAGUUUCUUUAACAGGAAAGCAAAGGUUUCCAGAGACCACUCUUUUCAGUGACAGACAUCUCCAUGGGCUGUUCUUUGUGACCACCGGCUGUGUUGUGAGAACUGUUUUGGUCUUGCUUUUCUUCAUGCCUGUCAAAGGCCACAGAGUGUUGAAGCCUGCAAACGCAGCCUGAAUCAGCACGGACCCCGGAGACUUUCAACAGCAUCUCAAUAAAACUUUCAAUUAUCUCCAUUUUAUACACAGUAUUUCAGUUGUGGGUGACACACUUCGUCUGAACAAAAUUAUAUUAAAUAACACCUUGAAUGAAAAGGUCCAUUCAAACAGAGAAAUAAUACAGAGAAUUAUACCCAAUAUCUUGUUUUUUAUUAUACAUUAUGAAUAAAAUCACUACUAAAAGCCAAGAAAAAUCAUCAAUGUUCUUUUUAGAAUCACAAAUGUCCCAACAAGCUUUGAUUUGAAAACCCCUUGUGGCCUAAGCACCUUAAGCUAUCUUGCAGAAAAUUCUAUGUGUGUUAAAACACUUGCAGGGACUACUUUUCCAAAGAAAUGAUUAUUAAAGGACAUUAGUGAAACAUCUUUAUAUUGACUCAUUUUAGAGCUAUCCGUUCACUCUUUAUUCUUUGAAUGUGUUUAUCUUGUUUUAUUAGCAACUUGUUGCUAGAUUCUGAUGUGUUAAUUCUUAGCUACAGUAAGGUUGUUUUAAAUGUUAUGUUUACUAUGAUAUUACUUAAAAAAAAUGUUACAUUUUCGCCUCUGUGUAAGCACAGAGCUGGUGAACUAAACAACAUACAUAACUCUCAAUCUAUCAUCUGCAUUCCCUUUGCAUUAGGUGUAACACUGGCACAAAAAUCAGAGCCCCAGCUCCAAUUUUUCCAGCUGUCUCUGUUGCCCUGUGAUCUUUUGGUACAAAUUUUCUAGCCUGUUUGAAAAGGCAGGCUUCUACCCCCUUCUUUGAUUGUACUUAGGCAUUUUGCCAGCCUGCGACAUGGAUUAAUAUGAACAGAAUCACAGACUUUUCUGAACACUAGUCAUUUACGUGUGUUUAGUAGCAUAUACCCAGCAAGAGAAAGGCAGGCUGCCGUUGCCUUUGUAUAGAGUCUGGGUAGGUUUUGAUUUCACUCAGAGUCAAGAACAAAGCAACCUCUGACUUUUCCUCAAACUCAGCCCCUAUGGAAUGACUUUUAAUGACUUCACGAACUGCUAGCCUUCAGAUGACUGGAGCGUUUUUUGCUUCUUAAGUUUUUCCUUCUAUGACGUUUUAUGAUUAUACCUUAUGGUGCAGUUCUAUUUUUGUUCUCAUGUGUUUCUGAGUGCUUAAAGUCUAGAGGAAAAAUUUUUUAACUCAUUUGGCUCCCAUGAAAUGUGCUUUUCAGUUUGGGGAUAACGUGGAGAGAAGCUUUAAGUACUGUGCCAAUACCAAACAUGGCAUUCCCUAUUGAAUGAGCCAAUUCCAUCCCCUGAGUCUGAAUAAUUUAG
Molecule: long non-coding RNA, 1865 nt
Filed under: Pan troglodytes (chimpanzee)
Lineage: Eukaryota; Metazoa; Chordata; Mammalia; Primates; Hominidae
Description: lncRNA (ENSPTRG00000053485.1)
Source: RNAcentral